GGCCACACUGGGACUGAGACACGGCCCAGACUCCUACGGGAGGCAGCAGUAGGGAAUCUUCCGCAAUGGACGAAAGUCUGACGGAGCAACGCCGCGUGAGUGAUGAAGGCUUUCGGGUCGUAAAACUCUGUUGUUAGGGAAGAACAAGUACGAGAGUAACUGCCGUCCUUGACGGUACCUAACCAGAAAGCCACGGCUAACUACGUGCCAGCAGCCGCGGUAAUACGUAGGUGGCAAGCGUUAUCCGGAAUUAUUGGGCGUAAAGCGCGCGCAGGCGGUUUCUUAA
This 286-nucleotide ribosomal RNA is filed under the name Bacillus sp. (in: firmicutes). Its description in RNAcentral is "Bacillus sp. (in: Bacteria) partial 16S ribosomal RNA". It matches the Rfam family "Bacterial small subunit ribosomal RNA", at positions 306 to 586 of the family's 1533-position model. The record is from RNAcentral. Lineage: Bacteria; Bacillati; Bacillota; Bacilli; Caryophanales; Bacillaceae.